RNAcentral lists this ribosomal RNA (541 nucleotides) under Saccharomyces cerevisiae (brewer's yeast). RNAcentral's name for it is "partial large subunit ribosomal RNA". It matches the Rfam family "Eukaryotic large subunit ribosomal RNA", at positions 113 to 664 of the family's 3401-position model. The record is from RNAcentral. Lineage: Eukaryota; Fungi; Ascomycota; Saccharomycetes; Saccharomycetales; Saccharomycetaceae.
AUUUGAAAUCUGGUACCUUCGGUGCCCGAGUUGUAAUUUGGAGAGGGCAACUUUGGGGCCGUUCCUUGUCUAUGUUCCUUGGAACAGGACGUCAUAGAGGGUGAGAAUCCCGUGUGGCGAGGAGUGCGGUUCUUUGUAAAGUGCCUUCGAAGAGUCGAGUUGUUUGGGAAUGCAGCUCUAAGUGGGUGGUAAAUUCCAUCUAAAGCUAAAUAUUGGCGAGAGACCGAUAGCGAACAAGUACAGUGAUGGAAAGAUGAAAAGAACUUUGAAAAGAGAGUGAAAAAGUACGUGAAAUUGUUGAAAGGGAAGGGCAUUUGAUCAGACAUGGUGUUUUGUGCCCUCUGCUCCUUGUGGGUAGGGGAAUCUCGCAUUUCACUGGGCCAGCAUCAGUUUUGGUGGCAGGAUAAAUCCAUAGGAAUGUAGCUUGCCUCGGUAAGUAUUAUAGCCUGUGGGAAUACUGCCAGCUGGGACUGAGGACUGCGACGUAAGUCAAGGAUGCUGGCAUAAUGGUUAUAUGCCGCCCGUCUUGAACCACGGGACC